CAGGGGCUGUUCUUGCAGACAUCUGCUCAGGGUUGCAUGAGCAGAGGUGGACAGGUCUGCAAGAUGAGUCUCAGGGCAGCAUUUUCUGUGCUGAUUUCUUAGUGAAGGCCUGUCCAAAUUAGCCUUCACUCUUGCAAAGACCAUACUAGCUUCUCUUCCAUCGCCACAUAAAUAAGAGAAAGGAAUCUUUUCUGUUUCCUAGAGACUUCAUGGAGAUGGUUCUUCUGCAGGUAGCAGCAUGCCUCUUUGUCACUGGACUUCUGUGGAUAUGGAAUUUCUGUGCCCAGGGACAAGCAAGAUCCUAGGGAAACCUAGGAAAAGCCUUCUUGUAGGCCAUUUUCAAAAAUGGGACUUUCUAGUGCCUUGCAGCCUGUUGGCUUGAAUGCCGUGGUGCUUUCUGGUGUGAUGGAUCUCUGCCCCUGCAAGCAAUUCUGAUAAAAUCAACAGAUAAAACAAAAAAGAAAGUAUCAAAGCACAGAGUGAUAAACCCUCAUCCAGACCGUCUCCCCUCCUCUAGCACAGCCCUCAGACCAGUUCACCAGAGGGGUGCCCCUUCCCCUCCCAGCUGCCAGGGCAGCAGCCUGCUGCAGGGAGCCUCAGGUCUUUUUUUCCGGGAGGAGGAAGCAUUAGUGAUGAAGGUGGAACGGAUUUGCUGCUUCUCUUCCUCAUCAACACAGCUUGUCCACCAACUGCUCUGUGUGGAUCUUAAAAUAGUCUUUUGAGGAUAGGAAACUGCUCAUCAGCUUCAAACCAACAGCUACAUCUUGUGUAAAAGAGAGCAACCCAGGGUGCCGUCGCUGUCUUAGUUUCUCUUUUGUGAGCAGCUGGUGGUUGGUGGGAUGCACUGGGUAUGUUUCCACUGAUCUCGGUUUUAAAAUGCUGUCUUCCUGCUUCCUCUCUCUAUGGGGUUUUGGGGCCAGUGCUGGUCAGGGGCUGAGAUGCCUCCAGAGCCAACAAAGACCAUUCAGCAGUGCUAAAGGGUAACCUGAAGUUUUAAGUGAGUUUGCUAAAUCCUGAAGGUUUGUGACACAUCUGCCCAUCCUUGUGUUUGUAAGUGGAGUCUUUUUGGUGCUGCAUGUGGAGGAUG
This 1087-nucleotide long non-coding RNA is filed under the name Anas platyrhynchos platyrhynchos (common mallard). RNAcentral's name for it is "lncRNA (ENSAPLG00000025158.1)". Lineage: Eukaryota; Metazoa; Chordata; Aves; Anseriformes; Anatidae. The record is from RNAcentral.